Molecule: long non-coding RNA, 1058 nt
Filed under: Manacus vitellinus (golden-collared manakin)
Lineage: Eukaryota; Metazoa; Chordata; Aves; Passeriformes; Pipridae
Description: lncRNA (ENSMVIG00005002187.1)
Source: RNAcentral
CUGACUUCAAACUGAUUUGGAUCAAGAUACAGUGACUUUAAGUGUGGAUAAGGCAUUCAGAGUUGAGGCUGGAUGAGUUCUGUCAUGCUUAUGAAGUCAUGAAAGCAUCUGGAUACACUACAGAAACCCUCAACCAAAAGCUUUUUGAAGUCUCUUUCUAAUACAAUCAUCCAGGCUUGCUCCACUAAACCAGGCUGCUCAACUAUCUGGAUAAGAAGACUCACCACCUUGGAAUUAGAGCUGGGAAAUGUUUUUGGAAAAACAGAAGAGGUGCUGGAGGAGAAUAGUGUUGUCUCUCUGGCCUGGCAGUGUUUUUAAGGAACCAUGACUGAACACAGAGGGAACAGGGAGAUCUGUUGAAAAUUGAAAAUACUGGAGACAGUAAAGUGUGUUGUGCAAGGGCUUCUGUUGGCCAGAAGAAGUGAAAUAACAGCUCACUUCCUAAAAUGGAGAUAUCCCCACAUUUUGUUCCUGGCUGAGGAGAACAGUAUUAUUUGCCAUAUAUCUGACAAGUACCAGGGCAUUUUGCACCCUAUAAAAUUCCUAUAAUUUACCUGAAACUGCCAGUAAAUUGACUUAAACCUAAAUAGUGUAUCUUCCUUGAAAAGAAGCCACUGUUCUGUGGGGUUUUUUUUUUUUUGUUUGUUGGUUGGUUCUUUUUGUUGUUUUUGUUUUGUUUGGUUUGAUUUUGGUUUUUUUUUUACUGGUUAGUCUGUUACUGCUUAUAUUGCUCCCAGAUUCCUUGGGGCUUAAAUGUUUCGGGCAUGUUGUUAGAACAACAAAUUAAAAUUGGAACUUGGAAAAUCCUGUAUUUGGAAUUUAUUUGCACAGUUAAGCAGCAAAAGACUGUUCCUUGAAAGGGGAGAGCAGUCAAGGUCCACUCAUGCAGUGUGGGGAAAAUGACUGGUAGGUGACAGUGGAGGAAACCCAAAUAUACUGUGGGACUCCUCACCCUGGGAACGAUUCAUCAUUCCAUCCAGAGGAGCAGGUAGCCUCCCUCUCUCUGUUUGGGAUCCUAAGAUUGCAAGUUUAUUUUGAUUUUAAUUUUAACUUCACUC